RNAcentral lists this ribosomal RNA (253 nucleotides) under uncultured bacterium. RNAcentral describes it as "partial 16S ribosomal RNA". It matches the Rfam family "Bacterial small subunit ribosomal RNA", at positions 524 to 776 of the family's 1533-position model. The record is from RNAcentral.
UACGUAAGGGGCAAGCGUUGUCCGGAAUCACUGGGCGUAAAGGGUGCGUAGGCGGUUGUUUAAGUCUGACGUGAAAUCUCCGGGCCUAACCCGGAAACUGCGUUGGAUACUAUUCAACUAGAGGAAUGGAGGGGAGACUGGAAUACUUGGUGUAGCAGUGAAAUGCGUAGAUAUCAAGUGGAACACCAGUGGCGAAGGCGAGUCUCUGGACAUUUCCUGACGCUGAGGCACGAAAGCCAGGGGAGCAAACGGG